ACCAGUUACAAAAAGACAAAUAUUCCACUUAUAUAAGGUUUCUAAACUAGUAAUAUUCAUAGAAACAUAAUAGGAUGGUUAUUUCCAGGGGAUGGGGGAGGGGGAAAGCUAAUUGGCAUCGAGUUUCAAUUCCGCAAGACGGCAAAGUUCUGGAGAUGCAUUUCACAACAAUGUGAAUAUACUUAAUACUACUCAACUGUACACUUGCAAACAGCUAAAAUGGUCAAUUUUAUAUCAUGUAUUAUUACCACAACAAAAAAACAAUAAUUCAGAAGUUAGGACCUCUGAUGAACAUAUAAUUCAGGCCUGAGUAGCACGUCUUUCUGAGCAAACCCAGAGAUGGAAACCUCAGUAGCUGGGUGGAUGUGUUCUGAAGCACAGAACCAAGAAGAAAACUUGUUGCUGCUUGUCUUAACUUCAGGGAAAGGAACUUUAAAUCACUACCCCCAAAUCAGCAUCCACUUGAGGCUAGGCCAAGUGGACACUCUAGCAGCAUCUAGGACCACCUCAUGGAUAUAAUUACAGGAUAACAGCAUGAGCCUGUCUCAAAAUAAUUCCACAAUUAUUUAACUUUAUUUAAGACUUUGAGGGCUAUGUCUAUAAAUUCUGUUUUUCAUCAUAGGAAUGAGGGAGGAAAGGUGUGUGCCAUGGGGAAGUGGGAGUGGGGAACAGGUUUCUAAUAGAGUAGCUAUGGGCUUCAGUCCAUUUUGAUCCUGAGCAAACACAAUGGCAUUAGGAAGCUAAUAAUUCAGAAGUUAGGACCUUUGAUGAACACAUAAUUCAGGCCUGAGCAGCAUGUCUUUCUGAGCAAACCCAGAGAUGGAAACCUCAGUAGCUGGGUGGAUGUGUUCUUUUGAAGGAUAGCAGCAUAAGCCUGUCUCAAAAUAAUUCUGCAGUGAGACAGGUUCAUGCUGCUAUCGUUCCAAAGAGGAAGGGUAAUCACUGUCUCUUUCUGCUACUCCUCUGGUUCCACUUUCUGGAGAAUUCCCUUCAGACACCCCUUCCCUCGAGUCAUCCUGUGCAGCAGACCUGUUUACGUGAUCAGUCGGUCAUACUCAACUCACGGAGGUAUGUGUCUGUCACGAACAUCUCAAGUACUGUAUAUUUCAUCCCCAUUGUUCCCAUGGCUUACAGAAAACCUGUGCUUGCAUAUACUCCCAGCACCACUGAUUCAGUGAAGCCAAAACUGAGCUUCACACUUUUGUCACAAAAUGGACUUCCCUUUGGAUGGCUUCAUUUCUAAUCCUGCUUCUUGAUGUUUCAGACUUCUGGUGUGAAACAGUUGGAGUCAGCUUUGAGACACCCCUGUUGGUAUCAGGCAGGGUCUAACCAGAAAACCAUGACUACGUUAAGUUCUUAGAGUGCAAUUCCUUAUGACAUGGUUAGGUGGGUGAUGAGCAUCCCACAAAGAUGGUGAAGUGAGAAGCAAGCUAUUGUUGCUUCUGGGCUUCAGGAACAGCAGAAGGAGGUGAUGUGACUGGAGCCCAAUGUAGGGGGUCCUCUGCUCUUCUGUCUCCCACCACUGCUUUCUAGUGUCCAAACUGUCUGAAGCCAGACUAUAGCCAACUGACACAGAAUCCAAUGCAGCCUGUGUGUAUUAGGCUCCCUCACAACAUAGAGCAACUAUGAGUAGGUGAAUAAAUAAAUCAACAGAUAGCCCCAGAACUGGCAGAUUCUCCUUCAUAUUAGUCUGUCUACUACACAUUUAGUCAAUGGAGGGUCCACUAACUAAUUAUAAUAGAUUUAUAUGUAACCAGGGUUACAAGUUCUCCUGAUUUCCAAGUCAGUGUUUUCUUUUUUCUGUUUCUCUUUCUCAUACACUUCCACAAUCAAGUAUGUACAACUUUUCAAAACAUUGCCUAGAAGACUGACAAAAUAUUGAAAAGUAUUCCCUCACGAUAAUUAUCUGAUAACUUGGCAGGAAAAAAAAAUCCUGUUUUGUUUGCUAUAACCCAUUGAAAAUAUUAGGAUAAAAUAAUAAUUUUCAGGCUUAACAAUCACUUAUGGAU
Molecule: long non-coding RNA, 2009 nt
Filed under: Homo sapiens (human)
Lineage: Eukaryota; Metazoa; Chordata; Mammalia; Primates; Hominidae
Description: HSALNT0244398
Rfam family: mir-4524 microRNA precursor family (bases 848-931)
Source: RNAcentral